Molecule: long non-coding RNA, 582 nt
Organism: Mercenaria mercenaria
Lineage: Eukaryota; Metazoa; Mollusca; Bivalvia; Venerida; Veneridae
Exons: 3
Source: RefSeq, a predicted model, not a curated record
GAUAAACAACAUUGUUUUUUUUCAACUGGCAUUGUGCUAUAUAUACCGGUGUAAUAGUCUACACAUUUUUAAAGCGUCAACGUUGUAUUGGUUUGAGCAUAAAAAGUUUGGAAAUAAUAACAGUCGUGAACUACUUGAUAACUAAAUACCUCAGAAACAGAAAGAUGUCCACGCUAUGGCUUGCAAUUUUCCUGAUAGCGGCAAUACUUUUGUGUAUGAUCUUGCCGAGCGCCUCACAGGUCUUUUAUCCUGCCAUGUAUCCGUAUUAUUAUUACUCAGCGCUCUUUGGUAGAUAUCCCUACAUGUUUUUUGGAGGGGAUUAAAAUUCGGGAGUAUGCCAUUCAGAAAUUACAUCAGCAAGUCGAGAAAUCGUCUAAAUCUCCGUCAUUGUAUAUUUUCAUGAAGUGUUUUCUAUAAUAAAUUAUACAUGAGCUUUUAUCGCAGAAUACAUUAUUAAUUUCUGUAAAAUCAAAGUCGAGAAAUUAUCUAAGUCUCCGUCACUGUAUGCUUCAAUCAAAUGUUUCUACAAUAAAUUGUACAAGUGAGCUUUUAUAGCAGAAUACAUUAAUUAUUUAUGUAAAA